GUGAGGAUCUGGAUGUACGCGCUCGGGGCGGCGGCGGCGGCGGGGAAGCCGGGGCUGGCUAGCAGUGCCCUUUUGUCCAUGGAGGCUGCAGCGGCCGCAGCGACGACAGCCGCCCCCUCCCCACCCCCGGCGGUCACCAGUCGGAGUUUCCAAGUCUCUCCUCCUUCUCUCCUCCCAGCCCGGCGCUUCCGAGCCCCUUCUCUCUCUUUUCUUUUUAUUUUUCCGCACCGCACGGGCCCCGGGGGCCAAAAAUAAUCGGGGCCCUGGAGAGAGGAGGGUCCCGGCCGCACGGAUAUCGGGCCCCGAGGGGGGAUGGAGUCGUCGGGGGCGGCCGAUGCAAUGGAUUGCGAGGCGGCGGCGGCUGCCCGAGUGCUGCGGCCGGCAGCUGAAAAAUGGCUCCAGGAAGCUGCUGCUGACAAUGAAUGAAGGGAUACGGUUUACGCGCCAAGGUCCUCCCGCGAAACUCAGAUUUCCCGCCGGCUUUUCAAACCAUAUUUGCAUAUCCCCGCCCCUCAACCCGCCGAGGACCGUUCCCACAGCCCAUUGGGCCUCUGUCUCAUUCCUUCCGUCCCAAUCGUGGAGCAGGGCCGCGACUUGCUGGUUUCAAUUGGCUGCCGCGCAUCAUGGUUGUCGGGGCGACAGGGCCCCUAUUUGCAUACUCUUCCUUGAUUGGCUGGGAUGGAGUGUGGGUUUUAAGAGGUGGGGGGUAAAGUCUGCCUUCUCUCCCACGGAAGGCCACGCCUUGUACAGGCUCCUCCCCCGUCCCCGCCCUCCAGCCGGGCGGGCGCUGCUGACCUGGGCAGGGACUCCGCGCCCCGCAGACUCAGUGUGAAUUUAACCUAGAGCGCAAGUUUCGCUUUUGGAAAUUGUCAAGGUGACCAAGGGGACACUUUUCGGGGACUCGCUUUCGUUUGACCAGUAACCGUAAUAGGUGAACGACAGCGAGAGAUUCUCCCAAGUGUGUGCCAAAGGCAAGUUGGACCUUGCAAAUGACGCCUGGCAGGUGGAAACUGAGCCCUUUAAAUCGUGGGUUUCCCCCUUCCUGAAAUCCAACCAAUGCGGCAAGAGCUGAUCCCGAGGCCGAGGCUGACAGACAGAAGCAUGUGGGCAGGCAGAAUCGUGGGGGCAGAAGGUUCGACUGACGUGAUUGCGGGCACCAUUUAGUUACCAUUCCAGAUCAUUUCUGGUAGUUUCAUUAUCAGCCUGAUGGGAUUUAAGUUUAAAACUCCGAAUGUUUUGCCAAGUGAAAUCUUAUAGCGAAUUUUGAGUUCAGCAGACACCUCCAACCCCUCACCCUCUGGCCCAGAAGCACCCAGGGCAGUUAAUCUGGGCUAACCUAGGACUGAUCGGCGGGGUUCUAAUCCGCCAAACGGUAAUCCGAAGAAGUACAUGUUUCCCACAAUGACGUCUUGCUCCAAACAAACGCUGCACGCCUGGCACCAGCGCUUUACAAUUUUGGUUUCCUAGCAAGUUCUCUGACAGGACAACCCAAACUUACUCCAAAAUAUUUUCAAAGAAUUUUUUAAAGUAAACUAUUCAUUGCCACCAGAAAAAUAUUAAAUUAUUGUCAAACUGA
Molecule: long non-coding RNA, 1576 nt
Organism: Bubalus bubalis (water buffalo)
Lineage: Eukaryota; Metazoa; Chordata; Mammalia; Artiodactyla; Bovidae
Exons: 2
Source: RefSeq, a predicted model, not a curated record